CCGCGUCUGAUUAGCUAGUUGGUAAGGUAACGGCUUACCAAGGCGACGAUCAGUAGCCGACCUGAGAGGGUGAUCGGCCACAUUGGGACUGAGACACGGCCCAAACUCCUACGGGAGGCAGCAGUGGGGAAUAUUGCACAAUGGGGGAAACCCUGAUGCAGCGACGCCGCGUGACUGAAGAAGUAUUUCGGUAUGUAAAGGUCUAUCAGCAAGGAAGAAAUUGACGGUACCUGACUAAGAAGCACCGGCUAAAUAC
This 256-nucleotide ribosomal RNA is filed under the name uncultured bacterium. Its description in RNAcentral is "partial 16S ribosomal RNA". It matches the Rfam family "Bacterial small subunit ribosomal RNA", at positions 231 to 504 of the family's 1533-position model. The record is from RNAcentral.